GCGGAUGUAGCUCAGCUGGUAGAGCGCGACCUUCCCAACGUCGAUGUCGCGAGUUCGAAUCUCGUCAUCCGCUCCA
RNAcentral lists this transfer RNA (76 nucleotides) under Thiemannella venezuelensis. RNAcentral's name for it is "Planomonospora venezuelensis tRNA-Gly". It matches the Rfam family "tRNA". Rfam says of the family: Transfer RNA (tRNA) molecules are approximately 80 nucleotides in length. The record is from RNAcentral. Lineage: Bacteria; Bacillati; Actinomycetota; Actinomycetes; Streptosporangiales; Streptosporangiaceae.